GCGGGAAAGGAAUAGAUUAGGACAUGAACGACGGUUAUGUGUAGAUGAGUCAGCUUAAGACGAUGCCCAUGAGGCCAUCAACUAGCGAAGUUCCGAUUGGAUGACUGACAGGUAAGAUGCGUUCCAUAUUCAUAACAAUUAGUUUAAUUUAGCAGAAAUCUGCUCAGGUUUCCUUCCCUGUCUGCAGAUCCACUCACACACGCACACAAAGAGAGAGAUCUCUGUCACCUCAGCUCAAUCCUCACCUAACAAUCCUACAAUUAUUGUAGUUUUUAUUUAAAAUUUUUUAUGUGAGUGUGCGAGGAGAGAUCCAUUUUGAAAGAACGGACGGAAACAGAAUUAUCAAUUUCUUGUAAUUUCCAAUGGAUAAAGAACCCUCAAGCGACCUUUCCAGCUCUUCUCUGGUUUCUCUCUGAACACAGAGGAGGUGCUUGGAAUCUGAUGGGAAAAAUAGAUGAGAUAUGUGACAAGAAAGGG
This 477-nucleotide unclassified non-coding RNA is filed under the name Hevea brasiliensis (rubber tree). Lineage: Eukaryota; Viridiplantae; Streptophyta; Magnoliopsida; Malpighiales; Euphorbiaceae. The record is from RNAcentral.